AGUUUGUUGUGGGACAAAAAUAAAUGGCCAUCUUCAACAUUUUCUGAGAUUUCUAAUUUGUCUUUUUCUACUUGUGCAGAUGGAGUCAUGAAAUGUGACGGGACAGCCACCGAGGACUUCAUACUUCGGAGCAUCUCAAACAUGCACCACAAAGACGUGGAGGACACACCGCUGUCUCUCAGGACCUAGAAUCUUAAUGAAAGUAUAAUGAUGUUAAGGGAAGGUGUAAUGGAAAGGUGUAAUGUAAAGUUGUAAUGGUGUUAAGGGAAGGUGUAAUGUAAAGGUGUAAUAGUGUUAAGGGAAGGUAUAAUAUUGUUAAGGGAAGGUGUAAUGUUAAAGGUGUAAUAGUGUUGAGGGAAGGUAUAAUAUUGUUAAGGGAAGGUGUAAUGUUAAAGGUGUAAUAGUUUUGAGGGAAGGUGUAAUAGUGUUGAGGGAAGGUGUAAUGUUAAAGGUGUAAUAGUGUUAAGGGAAGGUAUAAUAUUGUUAAGGGAAGGUGUAAUGUAAAGCUGUAAUAGUUUUAAGGGAAGGUAAAUGUUUAGUGAAAUUGUUAUGGUGUGAAUCUAAGGUGUAUGUUAUGUUGAUGUAAAAUAAAGGCAUUAACCCCAAAUGA
Molecule: long non-coding RNA, 610 nt
Organism: Astyanax mexicanus (Mexican tetra)
Lineage: Eukaryota; Metazoa; Chordata; Actinopteri; Characiformes; Acestrorhamphidae
Exons: 2
Source: RefSeq, a predicted model, not a curated record